This is a long non-coding RNA of Vespa mandarinia (Asian giant hornet), 266 nucleotides long. Lineage: Eukaryota; Metazoa; Arthropoda; Insecta; Hymenoptera; Vespidae. The record is from RefSeq and is a predicted model, not a curated record.
GGUAAAUACGUUCGCAGCAUGCAACGUUACAGAGGGGUUAAUGAUAAUGUAAGUUCGCGUCUGGCAACCGCAAAUCCGAGCGUCCUAACGCCGAUGAAAGGAAAUAAAGAAAAGAAAAAGAAAAUUCAAAAAGGAAAAUUCAACCUAUCCUGAUUAAAACAAAACGAUUAUUACGAUGUACAAUAUUAUUAUAUAAAAAAUGUAUAAAUAUCAAUUGCAGUUUCAACGAGUCAUCAUAAUAUCAAAAAAAAAAAAAAAAAACAAAA